AAAUUGAAGAGUUUGAUCAUGGCUCAGAUUGAACGCUGGCGGCAGGCCUAACACAUGCAAGUCGAACGGUAACAGGAAACAGCUUGCUGUUUCGCUGACGAGUGGCGGACGGGUGAGUAAUGUCUGGGAAACUGCCUGAUGGAGGGGGAUAACUGCUGGAAACGGUAGCU
Molecule: ribosomal RNA, 170 nt
Filed under: Escherichia coli
Lineage: Bacteria; Pseudomonadati; Pseudomonadota; Gammaproteobacteria; Enterobacterales; Enterobacteriaceae
Description: partial 16S ribosomal RNA
Rfam family: Bacterial small subunit ribosomal RNA
Source: RNAcentral